Molecule: long non-coding RNA, 843 nt
Organism: Cydia pomonella (codling moth)
Lineage: Eukaryota; Metazoa; Arthropoda; Insecta; Lepidoptera; Tortricidae
Exons: 2
Source: RefSeq, a predicted model, not a curated record
GUGAAAAUGAGUUGUAAAGCAACCGUCUUUUGUUUUUAAACAUCAAGUUGUGACACAACGUCUUGGCAUUCAACCAUCAAAUUGUUGUAGAUUCGUAAUUUAUUUUUAGCUGUGUUUAAAAACCUACGAGUAAAACAAAUUGACUACAUUUUUUUUAAAUUUCUUGGCAAGAUUGAGAAAAAUUUUAUACAAAUAAGAUUAUGUCAGACAUUUUUGCGGGCUUCAUUGUCCAACAUAUUAUGGCAGGUGAGGUGACUGCUCGUUCGUUUGACUUUUUUCUAUAACUUAAUUAAGUAGAAACCAAACGAACGAACGAGAUCGGUUAGCGAACGUAAUCAAAGUGUAACAAAAAACAGUGGUGUCAAUCCAAAUCAAUUAUCACCCAAACCAUUCUCACGUCAUAACCAUUCUAAAAACACUGAAAACGUCUCACAUAAAUAUACAUUUUAAGGGCUACCGGGCUGAUUGGCGUGUAUAAAUACACGGACACGCGGACGGACAAUGUCGCGAUAUAUAACUUGCUGUCAACUGUUAUUUAUGCUCCUGCGCAGCUUGAGUUGCGAACGCGCGUCGAGUUCUUGAGAAACCAGCAUAAUGAUUGCGAACGUAACCUAACCUAACCUAUCUAUAGGAUAACGUAAGGAAAUUGGUGUUACAUUGACUACAGUGGUUUUACAUGCGCGUUGCCGAACCUUUAAAAAUCUAUACACUCCCAUUUUGAAAUAACUCAGGAACAAAUUGUGCUCAUCACACAAAUAAAUACCCUUACCAGGAUUCGAAGCCAUCGGUGUCAUAGGCACACACUUCGCAAGCAAUAAGAUCACAUGACUAGACAAGUCCUGA